Non-coding RNA from Xyrichtys novacula (pearly razorfish), 2800 nucleotides. Lineage: Eukaryota; Metazoa; Chordata; Actinopteri; Labriformes; Labridae. The record is from the annotation of a GenBank genome assembly.
GUUGGGCUUGGAGCUAGGAUUUUUCUGAGUGCAAUGAACCAACUCCCGAGUCUCUUGGACGUUCCUAAAAAAAUUUGAUUUUUUCCCAUAGGAAUGCAUGGGUUAGGGUUAGGGUUAGGGUUGGAGCUAGGGUUAGGGUUAGGGUUAGGGUUGGAGUUAGGGUUAGUGUUGGAGCUAGGGUUAGGGUUGGGCUUGGAGCUAGGAUUUUUCUGAGUGCACUGAACCAACUCCCGAGUCUCUAGGACAUUCCUAAAAAAAUUUGAUUUUUUCCCAUAGGAAUGCAUGGGUUAGGGUUAUGGUUAGGGUUAGGGUUGGAGCUAGGGUUAGGGUUAGGGUUAGGGUUGGAGUUAGGGUUAGUGUUGGAGCUAGGGUUAGGGUUGGGCUUGGAGCUAGGAUUUUUCUGAGUGCAAUGAACCAACUCCCGAGUCUCUUGGACGUUCCUAAAAAAAUUUGAUUUUUUUCCAUAGGAAUGCAUGGGUUAGGGUUAGGGUUAGGGUUGGAGCUAGGGUUAGGGUUAGGGUUAGGGUUGGAGUUAGGGUUAGUGUUGGAGCUAGGGUUAGGGUUGGGCUUGGAGCUAGGAUUUUUCUGAGUGCACUGAACCAACUCCCGAGUCUCUAGGACAUUCCUAAAAAAAUUUGAUUUUUUCCCAUAGGAAUGCAUGGGUUAGGGUUAGGGUUAGGGUUGGAGCUAGGGUUAGGGUUAGGGUUAGGGUUGGAGUUAGGGUUAGUGUUGGAGCUAGGGUUAGGGUUGGGCUUGGAGCUAGGAUUUUUCUGAGUGCACUGAACCAACUCUCGAGUCUCUAGGACAUUCCUAAAAAAAUUUGAUUUUUUCCCAUAGGAAUGCAUGGGUUAGGGUUAGGGUUAGUGUUGGAGCUAGGGUUAGGGUUGGGCUUGGAGCUAGGAUUUUUCUGAGUGCAAUGAACCAACUCCCGAGUCUCUAGGACGUUCCUAAAAAAAUUUGAUUUUUUCCCAUAGGAAUGCAUGGGUUAGGGUUAGGGUUAGGGUUGGAGCUAGGGUUAGGGUUAGGGUUAGGGUUCGAGUUAAGGUUAGUGUUGGAGCUAGGGUUAGGGUUGGGCUUGGAGCUAGGAUUUUUCUGAGUGCAAUGAACCAACUCCCGAGUCUCUAGGACGUUCCUAAAAAAAUUUGAUUUUUUCCCAUAGGAAUGCAUGGGUUAGGGUUAUGGUUAGGGUUAGGGUUGGAGCUAGGGUUAGGGUUAGGGUUAGGGUUGGAGUAAGGGUUAGUGUUGGAGCUAGGGUUAGGGUUGGGCUUGGAGCUAGGAUUUUUCUGAGUGCAAUGAACCAACUCCCGAGUCUCUAGGACGUUCCUAAAAAAAUUUGAUUUUUUCCCAUAGGAAUGCAUGGAUUAGGGUUAGGGUUAGGGUUGGAGCUAGGGUUAGGGUUAGGGUUAGGGUUGGAGUUAGGGUUAGUGUUGGAGCUAGGGUUAGGGUUGGGCUUGGAGCUAGGAUUUUUCUGAGUGCAAUGAACCAACUCCCGAGUCUCUAGGACGUUCCUAAAAAAAUUUGAUUUUUUCCCAUAGGAAUGCAUGGGUUAGGGUUAGGGUUAGGGUUGGAGCUAGGGUUAGGGUUAGGGUUAGGGUUGGAGUUAGGGUUAGUGUUGGAGCUAGGGUUAGGGUUGGGCUUGGAGCUAGGAUUUUUCUGAGUGCACUGAACCAACUCCCGAGUCUCUAGGACAUUCCUAAAAAAAUUUGAUUUUUUCCCAUAGGAAUGCAUGGGUUAGGGUUAGGGUUAGGGUUGGAGCUAGGGUUAGGGUUAGGGUUAGGGUUGGAGUUAGGGUUAGUGUUGGAGCUAGGGUUAGGGUUGGGCUUGGAGCUAGGAUUUUUCUGAGUGCACUGAACCAACUCCCGAGUCUCUAGGACAUUCCUAAAAAAAUUUGAUUUUUUCCCAUAGGAAUGCAUGGGUUAGGGUUAGGGUUAGGGUUGGAGCUAGGGUUAGGGUUAGGGUUAGGGUUGGAGUUAGGGUUAGUGUUGGAGCUAGGGUUAGGGUUGGGCUUGGAGCUAGGAUUUUUCUGAGUGCAAUGAACCAACCCCCGAGUCUCUAGGACGUCCCAAAAAAAAUUUGAUUUUUUCCCAUAGGAAUGCAUGGGUUAGGGUUAUGGUAAGGGUUAGGGUUGGAGCUAGGGUUAGGGUUAGGGUUAGGGUUGGAGUUAGGGUUAGUGUUGGAGCUAGGGUUAGGGUUGGGCUUGGAGCUAGGAUUUUUCUGAGUGCAAUGAACCAACUCCCGAGUCUCUAGGACAUUCCUAAAAAAAUUUGAUUUUUUCCCAUAGGAAUGCAUGGGUUAGGGUUAGGGUUAGGGUUGGAGCUAGGGUUAGGGUUAGGGUUAGGGUUGGAGUUAGGGUUAGUGUUGGAGCUAGGGUUAGGGUUGGGCUUGGAGCUAGGAUUUUUCUGAGUGCAAUGAACCAACUCCCGAGUCUCUUGGACGUUCCUAAAAAAAUUUGAUUUUUUCCCAUAGGAAUGCAUGGGUUAGGGUUAGGGUUAGGGUUGGAGCUAGGGUUAGGGUUAGGGUUAGGGUUGGAGUUAGGGUUAGUGUUGGAGCUAGGGUUAGGGUUGGGCUUGGAGCUAGGAUUUUUCUGAGUGCAAUGAACCAACUCCCGAGUCUCUAGGACGUUCCUAAAAAAAUUUGAUUUUUUCCCAUAGGAAUGCAUGGGUUAGGGUUAGGGUUAGGGUUGGAGCUAGGGUUAGGGUUAGGGUUAGGGUUGGAGUUAAGGUUAGUGUUGGAGCUAGGGUUAGGGUUGGGCUUGGAGCUAGGAUUUUUCUGAGUGCAAUGAACCAACUCCCGAGUCUCU